Tupaia belangeri chinensis (Chinese tree shrew) is the source of this 393-nucleotide long non-coding RNA. RefSeq lists it as uncharacterized. Lineage: Eukaryota; Metazoa; Chordata; Mammalia; Scandentia; Tupaiidae. The record is from RefSeq and is a predicted model, not a curated record. The transcript has 3 exons.
UCAAAGUCUAGUUUGACAAACACCACAAGGCAGCUAACAAGUGUGAAGGUAACUGUCCAAGGUACUACAAGGAUGUAUGGAAAGAGGAGCGAGGGCAUCCACAGAGGAAGAAUGUGUUACAGGGGAUAGCAGCAUGACUGGAGGAGCCACAUAACCAACUCUCGACUGGCUCUAAAUACUGAGCUGGCUUCUUCCAGCAGAAGGCUGAAGGCUUCCCAUCGGAGGCCAUCCCUGGGCUCUGGAGUGUCACUGAACCUUUUGCAGGGACAGCUUCUCUGUAUGCUCUCAAAUGUUCAGCCAGUGCAAUACACAAAUAGCCUUCUUCAUGAAAAUGCCAUCUAUUAAUAGAUCCACAGUCAACUGCAGUCCAAGUGGCCAGCCCACGAAAACCAC